This 375-nucleotide RNase P RNA is filed under the name Vitreimonas silvestris. Its description in RNAcentral is "Terricaulis silvestris Bacterial RNase P class A". It matches the Rfam family "Bacterial RNase P class A". From Rfam's summary of the family: Ribonuclease P (RNase P) is a ubiquitous endoribonuclease, found in archaea, bacteria and eukarya as well as chloroplasts and mitochondria. Its best characterised activity is the generation of mature 5'-ends of tRNAs by cleaving the 5'-leader elements of precursor-tRNAs. Cellular RNase Ps are ribonucleoproteins. The record is from Rfam by way of RNAcentral. Lineage: Bacteria; Pseudomonadati; Pseudomonadota; Alphaproteobacteria; Hyphomonadales; Hyphomonadaceae.
CCAGUCGGCCGGACGGCCGCGGGUGCGCAAGCAUUCGAGGAAAGUCCGGGCUCCACGCGGAUACGGCGGCGGGUAACGCCCGCCGGAAGUAAUUCUAGGGAUAGCGCCACAGAGAAUAGACCGCCGAUGGCGUCGCAAGACGCACAGGCAAGGCUGAAACGGUGGGGUAAGAGCCCACCGCGCCGACCGUAAGGAAGGUGGCACGGCAAGCCCCGCCGGGAGCAAGACCGAAUAGGAGCACACGAGCUUCGGCUCAGGUCCGUCCGCGGAUUGUGCUCGGGUUGGUCGCGAGAACCGUGCGGCGACGCGCGGUCCAGAGGAAUGGUCGUCACCGCGCAAGCGGAACAGAACCCGGCUUACAGGCCGACUGGCAUU